Molecule: ribosomal RNA, 465 nt
Filed under: uncultured bacterium
Lineage: Bacteria
Description: bacterial SSU rRNA
Rfam family: Bacterial small subunit ribosomal RNA
Source: RNAcentral
GGCCAGACUCCUACGGGAGGCAGCAGUGAGGAAUAUUGGUCAAUGGCCGAGAGGCUGAACCAGCCAAGUCGCGUGAGGGAAGACGGCCCUACGGGUUGUAAACCUCUUUUGUCGGGGAGCAAAGCGAGUCACGUGUGACUCAUUGAGAGUACCCGAAGAAAAAGCAUCGGCUAACUCCGUGCCAGCAGCCGCGGUAAUACGGAGGAUGCGAGCGUUAUCCGGAUUUAUUGGGUUUAAAGGGUGCGUAGGCGGACUGUCAAGUCAGCGGUAAAAUACGGGGGCUCAACACCGGCCUGCCGUUGAAACUGGUCUUCUUGAGUGAGCGAGAAGUAUGCGGAAUGCGUGGUGUAGCGGUGAAAUGCAUAGAUAUCGCGCAGAACUCCGAUUGCGAAGGCAGCAUGCCGGCUCCACACUGACGCUGAGGCACGAAAGCGUGGGUAUCGAACAGGAUUAGAUACCCCCGUA